AUAGGUGGGCCAGUGGUAGGA
Molecule: microRNA, 21 nt
Filed under: Arabidopsis thaliana (thale cress)
Lineage: Eukaryota; Viridiplantae; Streptophyta; Magnoliopsida; Brassicales; Brassicaceae
Also listed under: 1 other name
Description: ath-miR8171
Source: miRBase by way of RNAcentral